RNAcentral lists this ribosomal RNA (509 nucleotides) under uncultured bacterium. Its description in RNAcentral is "bacterial SSU rRNA". It matches the Rfam family "Bacterial small subunit ribosomal RNA", at positions 8 to 526 of the family's 1533-position model. The record is from RNAcentral.
AGGGUUCGAUCAUGGCUCAGGACGAACGCUGGCGGUGCGCCUUAUGCAUGCAAGUCGAGCGAAGCUUUUCAGUAGUUUACUACAGAAAAUGACUGAGCGGCGAACGGGUGAGUAACGCGUGAGCAAUCUACCUUAGUUACAGGGAUAGCCCGAGGAAACUCGGAUUAAUACCUGAUAUUCUUUAUUUCUCGCAUGAGAAUAAAAGGAAAGGUCAGCCGAACUAAGAUGAGCUCGCGUUCUAUCAGCUAGUUGGUGAGGUAAAAGCUUACCAAGGCUACGACGGAUAGCUGGUCUGAGAGGGCGAUCAGCCACACUGGGACUGAGACACGGCCCAGACUCCUACGGGAGGCUGCAGCAGGGAAUAUUGUGCAAUGAACGAAAGUUUGACACAGCGACACCGCGUGUGGGAUGACGGAUCUAGGUUUGUAAACCACUUUCAGGAGGGAAGAAAAUGACGGUACCUCCACAAGAAGCCCCGGCCAACUACGUGCCAGCCGCCGCGGUAAUAC